Molecule: ribosomal RNA, 495 nt
Filed under: uncultured bacterium
Lineage: Bacteria
Description: bacterial SSU rRNA
Rfam family: Bacterial small subunit ribosomal RNA
Source: RNAcentral
ACGAACGCUGGCGGCGUGCCUAAUACAUGCAAGUCGAGCGGAGUUAGAGAAGCUUGCUUCUCUAACUUAGCGGCGGACGGGUGAGUAACACGUGGGCAAUCUGCCCGUAAGACUGGGAUAACUCCGGGAAACCGGGGCUAAUACCGGAUAAUCCUGACUCUCUCCUGAGAGUCAGUUGAAAGAUGGUUUCGGCUAUCACUUACGGAUGAGCCCGCGGCGCAUUAGCUAGUUGGUAGGGUAAUGGCCUACCAAGGCGACGAUGCGUAGCCGACCUGAGAGGGUGAUCGGCCACACUGGGACUGAGACACGGCCCAGACUCCUACGGGAGGCAGCAGUAGGGAAUCUUCCGCAAUGGACGAAAGUCUGACGGAGCAACGCCGCGUGAGUGAAGAAGGUUUUCGGAUCGUAAAACUCUGUUGUUAGGGAAGAACACGUACGAGAGUAACUGCUCGUACCUUGACGGUACCUAACCAGAAAGCCACGGCUAACUACGUG